Molecule: ribosomal RNA, 459 nt
Filed under: uncultured bacterium
Lineage: Bacteria
Description: partial 16S ribosomal RNA
Rfam family: Bacterial small subunit ribosomal RNA
Source: RNAcentral
CCUACGUGUGGCAGCAGUGAGGAAUAUUGGUCAAUGGGCGGGGGCCUGAACCAGCCAAGUCGCGUGAGGGACGACGGUCCUAUGGAUUGUAAACCUCUUUUGUCGGGGAACAAAGGCGCCCACGGGUGGGCGGAUGAGUGUACCCGAAGAAAAAGCAUCGGCUAACUCCGGGCCAGCAGCCGCGGUAAUACGGAGGAUGCGAGCGUUAUCCGGAUUUAUUGGGUUUAAAGGGUGCGCAGGCGGAUUUUUAAGUCAGCGGUCAAAUCGUGGGGCUCAACCCCAUCCAGCCGUUGAAACUGGGGAUCUAGAGUGUGCGAGAGGUAUGCGGAAUGCGUGGUGUAGCGGUGAAAUGCAUAGAUAUCACGCAGAACCCCGAUUGCGAAGGCAGCAUACCGGUGCACAACUGACGCUCAGGCACGAAAGCGUGGGUAUCGAACAGGAUUAGAUACCCUUGUAGUC